GCAGAAAACAUGGAUGUAUGGUGAAGUUAGACUUAUGUUGUAUAAGAUGAGUUUAUGGACACACGUAUUCCAGAAGGGUCAUACAUCAGUGUAAUACAGAUCAUUGCAAAACAAAAGCAGAAAGCCAUGUUACUAUCCUGUGUAAGGAUGUUCAGGCAUCUGAUCUGGAGGACCUCGUACCCUGUACAAGGCUUUUGUUGUCCCAGAACCCUCCCUUGGCACAUGCUGGGUUGUGCUUCCUUUUGUAAAUGAUUUUCAAUGGAAUUUUGCACAUAAUACAUUGUAAUACUGUACAAUAAUCCUAUGUAAAAUAAUUUUUGC
This 321-nucleotide long non-coding RNA is filed under the name Mus musculus (house mouse). RNAcentral describes it as "long non-coding RNA chr2:145887288-145887609". The record is from RNAcentral. Lineage: Eukaryota; Metazoa; Chordata; Mammalia; Rodentia; Muridae.